CGAAGAACCUUACUAGCGGGCCUUGUACACACCGAAACGUCCAGAGAUGGGCGCCCCCUUGUGGUCGGUGUACAGGUGGUGCAUGGCUGUCGUCAGCUCGUGUCGUGAGAUGUUGGGUUAAGUCCCGCAACGAGCGCAACCCUUGUUCUGUGUUGCCAGCAUGCCCUUCGGGGUGAUGGGGACUCACAGGAGACCGCCGGGGUCAACCCGGAGGAAGGUGGGGACGACGUCAAGUCAUCAUGCCCCUUAUGUCUUGGGCUGCACACGUGCUACUAUGGCCGGUACAAAGGGUUGCGAUACUGUGAGGUGGAGCUAAUCCCAAAAAGCCGGUCUCAGUUCGGAUUGGGGUCUGCAACUCGACCCCAUGAAGUCGGAAUCGCUAGUAAUCGCGGAUCAGAAAUCCGUGCGCUCUACGGGCCUUGUACACACCG
Molecule: ribosomal RNA, 431 nt
Filed under: uncultured bacterium
Lineage: Bacteria
Description: bacterial SSU rRNA
Rfam family: Bacterial small subunit ribosomal RNA
Source: RNAcentral